GUUUUACCAUGCUUAUGACAACUAUAUGACUUAUGCUUUUCCAUGUUCAGCUUUAAAUGGAUAAUUUAAAAUACCUACUGUUUCAAAUUUUAGCUCGAACAUUUGCCACAAGAGUAUCAUGGAUCUGCCCUCACACUUGUAGAAUCGCUAUCCAGCCUUGUUAUCAUGGGGAACAACAUAGAAUUUGAAAGGGCUAUUCUUUGGCUUUCUGCAAAAUCUAACUUUUGAUGUUGAUGCGAGGAUAAAUCUUUUUGAGGUAUUUUAAUUUUUUUCAUUUAGGAUUUAGUGAAG
This is a non-coding RNA of Camellia sinensis, 291 nucleotides long. Lineage: Eukaryota; Viridiplantae; Streptophyta; Magnoliopsida; Ericales; Theaceae. The record is from RefSeq and is a predicted model, not a curated record.